GGAGGAAAAGAAACCAACAGGGAUUGCCUCAGUAACGGCGAGUGAAGCGGCAAAAGCUCAAAUUUGAAACCCUCGGGAUUGUAAUUUGAAGAUUUGGCAUUGGAGAAAGCUAACCCAAGUUGCUUGGAAUAGUACGUCAUAGAGGGUGACAACCCCGUCUGGCUAACCGUUCUCCAUGUAUUGCCUUAUCAAAGAGUCGAGUUGUUUGGGAAUGCAGCUCAAAGUGGGUGGUAAACUCCAUCUAAAGCUAAAUACUGGUGAGAGACCGAUAGCGAACAAGUACUGUGAAGGAAAGGUGAAAAGAACUUUGAAAAGAGAGUGAAAUAGUAUGUGAAAUUGUUGAUAGGGAAGGAAAUGAGUGGAGAGUGGCCGAGGUUUCAGCCGCCCCUCGUGGGCGGUGUACUGCCGACGCCGAGUCAUCGAUAGCGAGACGAGGGUUACAAAUGGGAGCGCCUUCGGGCGUUCUCCCCUAACCCUCCACACUGCCACCGACGACAUAAUCCACCCAUUUCACCCGUCUU
This 521-nucleotide ribosomal RNA is filed under the name Yarrowia lipolytica. Its description in RNAcentral is "eukaryotic LSU rRNA". It matches the Rfam family "Eukaryotic large subunit ribosomal RNA", at positions 52 to 655 of the family's 3401-position model. Lineage: Eukaryota; Fungi; Ascomycota; Dipodascomycetes; Dipodascales. The record is from RNAcentral.